Danio rerio (zebrafish) is the source of this 925-nucleotide non-coding RNA. NCBI's taxonomy places the organism in Eukaryota, Metazoa, Chordata, Actinopteri, Cypriniformes, Danionidae. The record is from Ensembl.
CAGGUUUACAGCUCAGCCUCUGACCCAUAUCUGGUUGAGGAGACUGUGGAUAAUCCAGAACAUCACCAGUGGAAAAAAAGGUGUGAAUGCAUUCAGAAAAAGCCCUUGUGAGUGAGUACACGGAUGCUGGGCAUGAUGAAGCACAAACCUUGAUGUGCAACACCACCUUAUGAAUCUACAGUAGUUACAUUAACAUUUAUCAGACUCUUUUGUCUAAAGUGACUUACAAUUGAGGAGACAUUCAGCAAAUCAACAAGAAGAGGCAAUACACCCAAGAUGUGCUAAUUAUACAAAAAAAUGUUAAGAAUUAAGAAUGCUUCUACAUGUGGUUUGUGGUUUGUCAAAAGUGGUUUGUUUUUUUGCGUGUGUGUUUGUUUUUUAGAUAUAUGGAGUGGUUGUAAGAAAGUGUCUGGUGCAAAUGUGCAGAAAUGGUGCCCAGAGAGAUGAAUGUGUGUAGCUAUUGCAUGUUCUGUGAUGGUUGGUCUAAUUUAUGAUGUAAUGCUGAUUGUGUUACAUUGCUUUAAAGUGGUAAUCUUUCUUUGAACAACUAAAGUGUUAUCUGCUUUUUCAGUGUAAAGAAGUUACAGCAUAGUUUACAAAAGAAGACUUAAUUUUUCUAAGUAUAUUUUUGUAACUCAUUUAAUGACAGAAUAUUAUUUUUAAAUGUUUUUUGUAAUAUAUGAAAAGUAAUUUGAAAAGUGUUUUUAUGAUGUAAGCUUAUUUUUGUAAAUCAUUUAUUGUUUUUAAUUUACUUCAUACUUGUAUUAAUAUUAAUUUAAUAGUAUAUUGUACAUACAGUAUUUUAACUUAUUGUAAUAAGUGAAGAUACAGAUAAAGACAAUAUUUGGAUUUUGAUAAUCAUUUUAUUGCUGGAAAAUUUGUAAAACUGUAAAAAUGCUAUUGAAUAAACUCAAUGAAACAGAAA